ACAGUCACACAUUAGAUACCCGCGUAGUCCUGGCCGUAAACGAUGUGGACUUGGUGUUGGAAUGGCUCCGAGCUGCUCCAGUGCCGAAGGGAAGCUGUUAAGUCCACCGCCUGGGAAGUACGGUCGCAAGGCUGAAACUUAAAGGAAUUGGCGGGGAGCACCACAACGGGUGGAGCCUGCGGUUUAAUUGGACUCAACGCCGGAAAUCUCACCGGAUAGGACAGACAUAUGAUAGUCGGGCUGAAGACUCUACUUGAUGAUCUG
Molecule: ribosomal RNA, 264 nt
Filed under: uncultured archaeon
Lineage: Archaea
Description: partial 16S ribosomal RNA
Rfam family: Archaeal small subunit ribosomal RNA
Source: RNAcentral